CACAGAGGGAGAACACCCACCCACCCAGCUCCCUGCUGCCAGAGGGGUCCCUUUCCUCCUCCCCAGUAAGUCUUGUGGGCAUCCUGGCUUUGCUGGGAUGCUUGCAGACGGCCUGGCUACUUUCUAGAGAAGCAUCAGUUGUUUUUAUCUCUGCCAGUGAGAAGAGGCCAGAGAGAGUGGCUUAUCCCACGAUAAUCCUAGAGACAGGAGAAUAUUUCCCCCAGGAAUACUCACCAUUAUUUGGGAGCUGGGGGACUCAAAAAGCAGAUUUCAAGGACAACCCCAAAUACAGGAAAAAAAUUAGAGCUGGCAACAUCUGGGAACAAGAAGAAGCUUAAAGCAGAAAGCAGAGACAGAGAAUGUGUCAGAGAUUGACACCAUUAGGAUUUCUUAAAGCAAAUCUAUCUCCUUCAUCACAGUGGAAUAUAUUCUCCACUGAGCAAGCUGACCCAGUGGAAGGUGUCCAUGCCCACAGCAGGGAGUUAGAACAAGGCAAGACAGGAGGUGCUCCUGAGCCAGGAGUCUUCAAAGUCCACAUCACACCUGGCCUGAAACACCCUGGACCUUAUCUGCUGGGGAGGAGAGUUCCAAAUUAGAGAGUUACCCCAGUGUGACCUGCUGAAAUCACAGCUGCUGCCUGCAGCAGGGAAGAAAAGCCUCUGGCCCAGGAGUGUGCAACACUGUCAGUCCCAUUACUAGCGAACACUGCUCCAACACACCUUCCCCUUACUAUCCCUUUGCCUUUACUGGGUCAUGAUUGUCCUCUGAGGAAUUUCUCUUGAGCUGGAUUUCUUUCUGCAGACUUCUUGGUGAGCACUGUGCAAAUGACACGUAGCUGUCUUCAGGCUAAGAGAGGAAAUCUUUUGUUUUCACUCUGAUCUGGCCAGAAAUGCUGAAUAUGCAUCUCUUGAAACACUUGUUUUCCUUUCCUGCAGCCACACCUGUAAGUGCCACAUUCCCUGUUGGAGCAAUCAGAGUGGUUCCAGUGAUGUGCAAACUGGUGUCUUCACAGAACCACAGAGCAGUUUGGGUUGGCAGGGACCUUAAAGAUAGAACCCCCUGCCGUGGGCAGGAGUGACACCCACUAGGUCAGACUGCCCAGAGCUCCAUCCAGCCUGGCCCCAUCCCAGCCAUCAGCUGGUCUGGAUCUCAUUUCAAGGCUCUGUGUUCUUCCAUGAGACAUCUGAAUCUCACAUAAAAUGUUUCAUAUAGUCACUUAACUCCUGAUCCCUGGAUUUCCUACCUCAGCGUGGUUAAUAGCUCACAUCCACUUCUGGCAUGAUGAGAUAUUUAUUAUUGCUGUGGAAGUCACGCCAGCCAGGGAAUUAGAUCACCUUAUGACACUUCCUUGACCUCUGCACCAGCACAAGAAAAACAAACAAAAUUAUUGCUUAGGUGCUGUUCCACCUUUUUGUGUUUCAAGUAGAAAACCUUGCAGGGAUUCCAGAUCUCAAAAGAUAAGUACCAACAGAAGAAAGGCACUUCUCAGUGCUCCGAAGCUUUGCUUGUAUAAUGCUUCCCCAGACAACACCUGUUACUUAGACCCUUGUGUUUUCCAUCCCAAGAACAGCUUCCUGACGCCUGAGCUGUGCAGCUGCCCUGUGGCUGCCUUCUGUCUGCCGGGCAGGCAGCCCCGGGCUGGGGCAGGAGGAGGCUCUGGGGGCAGGCAGCCCCGGGCUGGGGCAGGAGGAGGCUCUGGGGGCAGGCAGCCCCGGGCUGGGGCAGGAGGAUGCUCUGGGGGCAGGCAGCCCCGGUGUUGAUGGAGGAGGAUGCUCUGGGGGCAGGCAGCCCCGGGCUGGGGCAGGAGGAUGCUC
Molecule: long non-coding RNA, 1814 nt
Organism: Passer domesticus (house sparrow)
Lineage: Eukaryota; Metazoa; Chordata; Aves; Passeriformes; Passeridae
Exons: 6
Source: RefSeq, a predicted model, not a curated record